AGGACGAACGCUGGCGGCGUGCUUAACACAUGCAAGUGGAGCGACGAACCAGGUUUCGGCCUGGGGCAGAGCCGCGAACGGGUGAGUAACACGUGGGUAACCUGCCCUGAUGAUUGGGACAACCCGAGGAAACUCGGGCUAAUACCAAAUGUGCCCUUUGACCGCAAGGCCACUGGGGAAAGGAAGCUUCGGCCUCCGCAUUGGGAUGGGCCCGCGGCCCAUUAGCUUGUUGGUGAGGUAACGGCUCACCAAGGCGACGAUGGGUAGCUGGUCUGAGAGGACGAUCAGCCACACUGGGACUGAGACACGGCCCAGACUCCUACGGGAGGCAGCAGUGGGGAAUCUUGCGCAAUGCGCGAAAGCGUGACGCAGCAACGCCGCGUGGGGGAAGAAGGCCUUCGGGUUGUAAACCCCUUUCAGUGGGGACGAAGCUUUGCCGGUGAACAGCCGGUUGGAGUGACGGUACCUUCAGAAGAAGCCCCGGCUAACUACGUGCCAGCAGCCGCGGUAAUCGUGA
Molecule: ribosomal RNA, 517 nt
Filed under: uncultured bacterium
Lineage: Bacteria
Description: SSU rRNA
Rfam family: Bacterial small subunit ribosomal RNA
Source: RNAcentral